GCGGUUUUUUAGGUCCGGGUGGAGGGUCACAGCAGGCGCUACUACACGUGUUAACAGUCGGAAUCCUACUAAAGGGGAAAUGAAACUAUCUGCUGCUUCUAUUUGUUUGACUAGUACAUAGUUUAGGCGCAAGUUCGACUCUGAAGUUCCUUCAACUCCUCGGGGAGGAAAUCAAUCAACGGACCCUGGUUUGACUGAUUUGGAUUAAAAAGACAUGAGCUGUAAACAUGCUAUAGUCGAACCUCUGUAGCUGGACACAUGAAGCCGCAGGAAGAUCUGUCGCUUUAACUUUCUACAAUAAGCUACUGUUAGCGCAUGAAACAGAGCGACUUUCAACUCCUUAAAGGGUGCUUUAUAGAACCCAUGCGUUUACUGAGGACACUUUAAAUAUGAAUGAGAAACAAUCGCUAGAGGACACUAAAAUAAACGGAGAAAAUACUAAAGCGGAAUCUGACAACCAUGCGAAGCUGGAGGCGGGUGACGCCGAGAAGCAAUCCGGCGAUCAGUGCGAGGUGGACGGACACGGAGCACCGCUGCCGACCCGCCUUUACAAGCGACGCUGGAUGAUAGUUCUCCUGUUCAGCUCCUAUUCACUGUGUAACUCCUUCCAAUGGAUCCAGUACGGCAUCAUCAACAACAUCUUCAUGAAGUUCUACGACGUGGACGCCUUCACCAUAGACUGGAUGUCCAUGAUCUACAUGCUCACAUACAUUCCCUUCAUCUUCCCGGUGACCUGGCUACUCGACAAAAAGGGACUCCGGGUCAUCGCGCUCGUGGCCACCGCGCUGAACUGCGCGGGGACGUGGAUCAAGGUGGCCAGCGUCAGACCAAAUCUGUUCGCUGUCACCUUCCUGGGACAGUUUUCCUGCUCGUUCGCACAGGUCUUCAUCCUCGGGAUGCCGUCCAGGAUCGCGUCUGUGUGGUUUGGUUCGGAGGAAGUGUCCACCGCCUGCUCCAUAGGAGUCUUUGGGAAUCAGCUGGGUAUUGCCAUUGGGUUCCUGGUGCCUCCUAUCCUGGUGCCUAAUGUGGAUGACAUGGAUGAGCUGGCUCAUCAUAUCAGAGUCAUGUUCUACAUCACGGCAGGAGUGGCCACCUUACUCUUCAUUCUCGUCGUCUUUGUCUUCCAGGAGCGUCCUAAACUACCUCCUACUCAGGCCCAGGCCACAGCUCGUCUCAUCCCACCGGAGCAGUACUCCUAUACCGCCUCUAUCCUCAGGCUACUCCGUAACAAGCCCUUCAUCCUCCUCAUCAUCACUUAUGGUUUGAACGUGGGCUGUUUCUAUGCUGUGGGCACCCUGCUGAACCGUAUGAUCAUUGAACAUUACCCCGGAGAAGAAGUGAAUGCUGGUCGGAUCGGACUCACCAUAGUCAUUGCAGGGAUGGUCGGCUCUCUGAUCUGUGGGAUCUGGUUGGAUAAAACUAAAACUUAUAAACAGACGACCCUUGCAGUCUACUUCAUGUCUCUGGUGGGGAUGAUCGUUUAUGCUGCUACACUCGAUCUUGGACACCUAUGGGUGGUCUUCAUCACUGCAGGAGCUCUUGGGUUUUUCAUGACAGGCUACCUGCCGCUGGGCUUUGAGUUUGCAGUGGAGCUGACGUACCCGGAGUCAGAGGGAACCUCAUCUGGACUCCUCAACUGUUCAGCACAGGUGUUUGGCAUUAUUUUCACCAUCUGCCAGGGAAAAAUCAUCGACGGCUUCGGCACACUGGCAGGAAACAUCUUUCUCUGUGUGUUCCUCCUAAUUGGCACCAUAAUGACCGGAUUUAUAAAGUCAGACCUGCGGAGACAGAAUGCAAACACGUUGGCCAAAGCAGCUGCGGAGGGGCAGAUGUCGGGACAGGACUAUGGAGCCACUGCACUAAUCUCCACGCCGCAGACUCCUCCUUCUCAAGCCUGAUCACUAAACCUUUCUGCUUCCACAUAAAAAAAAAUCUGCUCAAAUCUUAGCUCAACACACAGAUGGACAAAGGGACCCUCGGACUGCCCCAGUGGGAGCCUGGUGGAACCUCCUGUUAUCAGACAAGCCAAGUUUUAGACCACACAGACACGCUCCAACUUUAAAGCCUUGAACAUGUCCAUGACCUCAUUCUUGUUACAUAGUAACUCAGAACAACACAAUCAGGAAGUUGUCCAAUUUAAUUCCCUCCUGAGAAGAGUUCAGUGUAAAUUGUUGUAAUAAAUAUUUAUAAGAAAGAAAAAAAAUCUGAAACACAUAAUGAAUCAGAUGUUUGAUGCACAAUUUUGAAGGUUGAAGUUAAAUGUUUAGAAAUAUUUUUCUAUGAUACUGUGAAUGAGUAAAUACUCACACUGAACUUGUGAGACUAAUUUGUAAAAUUUUCUGUUUAUUCCUUGUCAAUUUUACCCAUCAGUAUUUUUAAAGCCUGAUUAUAUAUAUAUAUGUAUUUACCAUCAACGCUAUAGUUGUCAUGACAAAGUUAACCAUGUAAGUACAGUGUCAGCAUUUGUAGAAUUGACUUUAGUUGAAGAAUCAUUUAUGCAGCAUUGCAUUAAAGGAUUUCUAAUCCAUGGCAGAACACAGAAAGGGAUAAAAUAUUAAUGAAACACAGUUGUGAAUUUUAUUUGUAACACUGUUCAUGUUUACCUAUUUAACAUGAAAUAAAACUGUUUUUUAAAGUUU
Molecule: RNA transcript, 2639 nt
Organism: Cheilinus undulatus (humphead wrasse)
Lineage: Eukaryota; Metazoa; Chordata; Actinopteri; Labriformes; Labridae
Gene: flvcr2b
Gene name: FLVCR heme transporter 2b
Exons: 11
Source: RefSeq, a predicted model, not a curated record